CACCGAACCAAGGGGUGCCUUGAAAUCGUUAAUGAUUUUGAUGGCUGAGAUGCGAAGCGAACCCUUAGAACCUGAACCGGAUAGUACCGGCGUAGGAAUGGUUACGCUAAUCGCC
RNAcentral lists this non-coding RNA (115 nucleotides) under Colwellia sp. RNAcentral describes it as "TPP sequence". It matches the Rfam family "TPP riboswitch aptamer (THI element)". From Rfam's summary of the family: Vitamin B(1) in its active form thiamin pyrophosphate (TPP) is an essential coenzyme that is synthesised by coupling of pyrimidine and thiazole moieties in bacteria. The previously detected thiamin-regulatory element, thi box was extended, resulting in a new, highly conserved RNA secondary structure, the THI element, which is widely distributed in eubacteria and also occurs in some archaea. Lineage: Bacteria; Pseudomonadati; Pseudomonadota; Gammaproteobacteria; Alteromonadales; Colwelliaceae. The record is from RNAcentral.